Molecule: long non-coding RNA, 4145 nt
Filed under: Equus caballus (horse)
Lineage: Eukaryota; Metazoa; Chordata; Mammalia; Perissodactyla; Equidae
Description: lncRNA (ENSECAG00000042528.2)
Source: RNAcentral
AGAGGAGAAGAGACUUAGGGCCCGGUCCACAGGGAGAACCCCACACGACGAGGGAGGCAGAGACUGGAGUGACGCAGCUGCAAGCCAAGGAACCAAGAUGGCCGGCAACCGCCCGAAGCUAGGCAGAGGCGAGGAAAGAUGCUCCCGGAGAGCCUUCAGAGAGAGCGUGGCCCUGGCACCACCCUGAUUUGGGACUUCUAGCUUCCAGAACUGGGAGACAACACACUUCUACUGUUUUAACCCACCCGGUCAAGAGAUUCAAAAAGAUGAAGCCACCCACAAGCCUGUGAACCCGUUUAGGGUAAAGACGAUGUGCAAAGCAUCUGGGCAGCCCCAGAAUCGAGCAGCAGGCUGGCAAACAUUCAUUCAGGGUCGACUCGCACAAAACGGCCCCAGCUUCUCUAAUGGAGCUGCAGUUGACAAAACCCACGCUUCGCAGGCUGCUGAGUGAAAUGCUUAGGAAAGCAAAAUUGGAAGAUGCUGCGCUACUCAAACCGUGAAUGUAUUUUCCACAAUGAUAGCCCAUAUCUGCCCUUAUUCGAUGGAACCAGGCUGUGUUCUUCACACCAUAAGUGUCAUCUUCACAAUAUCUCUACUCAAGAGGCUCAGAAACUCCUCGGCUCGCCAGUGCAUGACGUUCCCAGAGGCUGUUCUAAGUGUAUUUGUGCUAAAGUACAAAAUGACUGUUCGAGCCAUCACUCCUAUCUGGCGAUCCUCUCUCACCUUUCACUACCCAGUUCUCUGCCCCAAGAGGCCAUUCUGUAUGGACCACAUCCACAGGCUUUCUUGGUUGCUGGCUUUGAUGUGCUUUUGACCAGGGAGGAGCCCAGCAGUUAUCAGAGAGAGAAGAGUGCACUGUGGGCAUUUCUCCCAUCUCCCAUCCUGCAGUGUCACUUCAGGAGGGCCCUGCCUCGCCACCCAAGAAAACACUUCCUCAGAAGGUGUGUUCUCCACGGGACGCUCUCAUUCUAGAAAAAAUCCCUCAUGUUGGUAGCCCAGGGAACUCCACCAUCUCAGCUUGGGUCUUGCCCAUACCCUACCCAUAGCACUGUGCACAGUCCCUUUACGAAGCUCUUCUCUUCUCUUACUUGAGUUGCCCUGUGUUUCCUGCAGCAUCUAUUAAUAGUACCAAAAAUUACUCCAGGAAACAGAUCCUCAAAAGAAGAUUCUGGGAUCAAUUUGCUUAUCUAUUUGAGGAUCUUCGAAGAGUGAAGUUUGAAAUCCUACCAGGAGAGAGCUCCUGUCCAGCCACAGUCUUGGCAGAAGGAAAGGGGAACACAGAAAUAGAACAUGUCGUAGAAGGAAGCUCUGAUUACUGAACUAUGCUGCAUCCAGGUUUGAUGGUAUUGACAUCACUCCAUGAUGAUUCAGAAGCUGACGGGACUUCAUGAGUCCCGUGAUGGACAAACAAACUUCUCCCACAAACACAAGUGGAUGCUAAGGAAUGAUGGCACCAGAUGUCUUAUUUAUCACUCCAGAUGCAGGAUGCUGUUCGCUGCGGAUUAUAGCAAUUGUCUCCUUCACCUUCUGGGCCGCGGGUGGGCUCCUGUACCAUCCCAGCAGGAGAUCUGACGACGGGAUGAGAACCAGCUGAGGGUGCUUACUUCUUUGCUCCCAUCCUGGGGGUUGCCUCUAGCUGGCUACAUCCCAUAACCAAAGGACACAAUUCCUGUCAUGAUUCCAUGCGGAACAGGAGAUGGAGAAUGUGGGAAAUUAAAGGCUGGGGGACUGGUGCAGUGUCCCCUGAACCAGGUUCUCGUUCAACAAGUAUACGCUGAGUACCUGCCCUGUGCCAGGCACCAUUCUACAGCAGAAAGAAGAGAGAUCAAGUUCCAGCCCUCUGGGGUUUACAUUCCAGUAUAGGAGACAAUCAACAAGUGAACAAAGAAAUGAGCCCACAACAGCAGAACUGUAUAGCUUCAAGAGAGACUACAAAGCUGAAAAUACUUGCUCGCUGGCUCUCUGCAGAGUAAGUUUACCGACCCCUGCUCUCUGGCCUGGAGCCACAGCAUCAUGAUAGAAGGAACUGAGGAGCAGUCCAUUUCCUCUAGGAAUUUUCUGGGAGCCAGAGCAAUGGUCUGCUUAACUAACCCUUCCCGUCUUAGAAUGGGUUGGAGGAAAAUUCACACUCGAGCUUAAUCAGUACAUGGAGAUUGGGGUAACUCUACCUUCUGCCUCCUUGAAUAAACUUGCCCAGAAACUCAAUUCGAAAUGCCCACGUCGGGGAUGGAGAAACAAGCAGAAAAGAAAGCUCCAGCCCGUGGCCUCAGGUCGAACUCGGAGUGAACUUCUGCACGACCAAGCAACUUCAAGUUCUCAGCUUGCUGCGUAUUUCUCCCACCUCCACCCCUGCUUUCUGUGUGGUACUGCUGAUUCUAGCUGCUAAUAACACUUAAUCUACCCAACAACAUCGACAUCAGAGAAAAUGACUGGGAUCAGAAAUCCUCCCUCACCUCUCGCCUUGCAGCCUCUGAAGAAGGCUCUGCCACUGUCUGCAAGUGAAGCCUAGCCUGAAGCCUUCAGCUUCCAGAGGCCAAGCAAAUGUUAUCCUAACAUGGGUCACGGUAGGUGGGUGGUUGGCAAACCUGUUGAUACACUACGCUGUCUACAACAUAACUUGUUGCAAAGCUGAAUUAACAGUAGCCCCAAGGCCAGCUGAAGACUGCGCACAGAUUAUCCCCAUUCCUAUUUUAAGAUUUGAAUCUAACAAACAGCACAGACUGCUCCGCCAUCAUUUGCUUACCACUUGUUUGUAUCUAUUUUUCUGUGUUACUAACUUUAGCCAUGCUUUUUGCCACAGGAUUGAGUCUGAGAGCAGGCAGACAUGGACUCAAGAAAGACAGAUGAUGGUUUAAAUUUACUCUCACAGGAUAAAGACCAAAACAGCCUUCUCCUGUUCAAGGACCCCUCGAAGCUGGUUAGCUAAUAGCCAAUUUUUUUUUUUAAAGACUUUAUCUUUUUUCAUUUUUCUCGCCAAAGCCCCCCGGUACAUAGUUGUAUAUUCUUCGUUGUGGGUCCUUCUAGUUGCGGCAUGGGGGACGCUGCCUCAGCGUGGUUUGAUGAGCAGUGCCACGUCCGCGCCCAGGAUUCGAACCAACGAAACACUAGGCCGCCUGCAGCGGAGAGCGCGAACUUAACCACUCAGCCACGGGGCCAGCCCCACUAAUAGCCAAUUUUGAGCACCCUAAAAAUCAUGACAAAGUGACAGGAUCCUAGUCAUCAUGUUCAUAGUAUAAUUUCUCAUUUGGAUGAUGAUAAAUUCAUAAAUUUUAGAGCAAAAUAGCUGUAAAGAAUAGUAGUCAGGUGAAAUUUGGGUAUAAAAUGAUCUGGGUGUGAACUUGGGCUGUGGUCUUUACUCUCCGUUCCACCCUGGACAAGUCACUUACCCCCCCUAGAAUGCAGUUUCCUACUGGGAAAAUGAAGGGAGUGGACUGGUUCCAUGAAGUACCCUCCAGCAGCAAAAGUCUAUGAAUCUCCAUCCGGUCUAGGUUAACCCCUUCCUUUACAGAUGUAGAAACUGAACACACAAGGGUGAACUCUAAAACAGCUAGUUAGGGGUAUAGAUGAGUUUGGAAUCAGUCUUUGAUAUUUUGUUUUAAAUUAACUGGGUGUGGGGGGCAGGUGUGGGUGUGUAUGUGUGCGUAGGUGUUCUGAAGAGCUCAAAAUCAUAAAAAUGCAAUACCCCUGGCCCCGGGCCUAACUUCAUGUGAAUUUCUGCAUCUUUCUGUUCUUAGAAUCUCUGUUCUUAGAACAGAAGGGGCCAUAAAGAUUGUGCAUGGCACCCUACUCAAUUUAUAGGCAAGAACUUAGAAGACACCCCAACUGGAACACCAGAGCUGGGAGCACAUCUCAGGCCUUAGAACACACAAAGGCCUGAACAAUGACGUGGUUUGUAUUGACUCUCAGCCCAAGUGGUAUUUCUCAAAUUUUCUUAGUAAUGAAUGACUUACGAAAAAAGCUAGUGAUUAAAUGUCAUUUGCUGGAUUUUCUCUAAAUAAAAAUCAUUUUCUAAGAGUCACUAACCGCUUACUAUAAUGACUUUACUGUGGGAUUACUUUAAUUUUACUGUGGAAAUAAGGAUUAUGUCAACUUCCUUUACCUCAGAAGUCUUGAAAUGGAAAAUUUUGCUUGUGUAAGUACAUAGU